CCUACGGGUGGCUGCAGUGGGGAAUAUUGCACAAUGGGCGAAACCCUGAUGCAGCGACGCCGCGUGAGUGAAGAAGUAUCUCGGUACGUAAAGCUUCAUCAGCAGGGAAGAAAAUGACGGUACCUGACUAAGAAGCCCCGGCUAACUACGAGCCAGCAGCCGCGGGAAUACGUCGGGAGGAAGCGUUAAUCCGAUUUAUUGGGGGUAAAGGGGGCGUAGAGGGGAGCACAAGGCUGGAGUGAAAUCCGGGGGCUUAACCACGGAACUGCCUUGGAAACUGUGCGGCUGGAGUGCAGGAGGGGUAAGCGGAAUUCGUGGUGUAGCGGUGAAAUGCGUAGAUAUUAGGAGGAACACCGGUUGCGAAGGCAGCUUACUGGAGUGUAACUGACGUUGAGGCACGAAAGCGUGGGGAUCAAACAGGAUUAGAUACCCGAGUAGUC
RNAcentral lists this ribosomal RNA (440 nucleotides) under uncultured bacterium. RNAcentral's name for it is "partial 16S ribosomal RNA". It matches the Rfam family "Bacterial small subunit ribosomal RNA", at positions 338 to 795 of the family's 1533-position model. The record is from RNAcentral.